RNAcentral lists this ribosomal RNA (461 nucleotides) under uncultured bacterium. RNAcentral describes it as "partial 16S ribosomal RNA". It matches the Rfam family "Bacterial small subunit ribosomal RNA", at positions 339 to 795 of the family's 1533-position model. The record is from RNAcentral.
CUACGGGGCGCAGCAGUCGAGAAUCUUCCGCAAUGGACGAAAGUCUGACGGAGCGACGCCGCGUGCGGGAUGAAGGCCUUCGGGUUGUAAACCGCUGUCAGUGGGGAGGAAAUGCAUCAGGGUUCUCCCUGGUGUUUGACCGAUCCGCAGAGGAAGCGCAGGCUAAGUUCGUGCCAGCAGCCGCGGUAACACGAACUGCGCGAACGUUAUUCGGAAUCACUGGGCUUAAAGAGUUCGUAGGCGGCCUUUCAAGUCGGGUGUGAAAUCCCUCGGCUCAACCGAGGAAUUGCGCCUGAUACUGUUGGGCUUGAGGGGGAUAGGGGUGAGCGGAACUGAUGGUGGAGCGGUGAAAUGCGCUGAUAUCAUCAGGAACACCGGUGGCGAAGGCGGCUCACUGGAUCUCUUCUGACGCUGAGGAACGAAAGCUAGGGGAGCGAACGGGAUUAGAUACCCUAGUAGUC